Molecule: ribosomal RNA, 231 nt
Filed under: uncultured bacterium
Lineage: Bacteria
Description: partial 16S ribosomal RNA
Rfam family: Bacterial small subunit ribosomal RNA
Source: RNAcentral
CCGGAUGCGGAUCUUGAAAGCCUGUCCCAGUUCGGACUGGAGUCUGCAACCCGACUCCACGAAGUUGGAUUCGCUAGUAAUCGCGCAUCAGCCAUGGCGCGGUGAAUACGUUCCCGGGCCUUGUACACACCGCCCGUCAAGCCAUGGGAGCCGGGGGCGCCUGAAGUCCGGGACCGCGAGGACCGGCCUAGGGCGAAACUGGUAACUGGGGCUAAGUCGUAACAAGGUACC